Long non-coding RNA from Nycticebus coucang (slow loris), 576 nucleotides. RefSeq lists it as uncharacterized. The record is from RefSeq and is a predicted model, not a curated record. NCBI's taxonomy places the organism in Eukaryota, Metazoa, Chordata, Mammalia, Primates, Lorisidae. The transcript is spliced from 3 exons.
UGCGGGCCACGCCGGGGGAGGGGGAGGUGUGAACGCGCGAGGGGUCGGGGUGUGCUCGCAGCCCGGGAAUGCGCGCGGCGCUGUGCUCGGGGUCCGGGAGUGCAGAGAAAACCAGCAAAUAUGUAAACGAAAGAACGGAAGCCCAGGAAUCAAAAGAGCUGUCCUGUGGUCUUGGCUGAGGUCAGACAGGAAGCGAGGAGGACCACCUGCUCCGGACACCCACCGAGGUCAAGCUGCCAUAGGCGCUCCCCGGCGAUCCUUAGUGCUUAGCAGAGAUUGGCUGCCCGGACCAAUAGCUCGAACACCAUUCCAAGUUCACCUCCACCAGGAUGGAUGUAUUGAAGGAAACAGAUUGAAAUAUUCCAGGAGGAAUCUCAAAAUUUUUCGUUUCCUAGCAGGUUUGUUUUUUUCAUUAACCCAGUAGGUAUUAUUCAAAUGCAUUACUCAGUUCUUUAUGACUAUGAAAUUACAAUGGAAAACUUUGGGCUACAGUGUUCUACCUACAUUACUUCAUUUAAUCCUCUCAGUAACUAUUAGGUGGGCAUUAUCCCCACUUUCUAGAUGAGAAAUUGAAGG